CUUACUAAUUAGAUCCAAACAAGAAUACAUACAGCAAAAGAACAACUUGUCAAACCUUCUGCCCAGGCUUUGAUCAUUUCUUGAUAUGAUAUCAAGUAUGUUAUAAUGAAGUUGAUAACAACUCAAUUUGCUUGCUGAUGAUUCCUCAAUCCUGAACUGCAUGUUCAAUUGGUACCUCCUAGCUCGAAAGUCAUUUAAUUACAUAUAGGCACAAAAUGUGCAGAGAAUCCGGUCACAUGUUGCCGACCCUUGAAUGAGUUGCGGAAUGACCGUUAACUCAAUGGUGACUUGCUUCAUAAUGUUGAUAACAGGAAAUGAUAACGCAAUCCAUUACUAGUAUGAAAUGGGUAUUCGAGAUGCCCGCCGUAUUUCUCUCUCUAAUCCAAAUAAAACAAAUGUUCUGCUGCGGUAGUGAUAGGUUCCUCAUCCAACCAUAAUAACCAACAAAGAUGCUU
Molecule: unclassified non-coding RNA, 455 nt
Filed under: Hevea brasiliensis (rubber tree)
Lineage: Eukaryota; Viridiplantae; Streptophyta; Magnoliopsida; Malpighiales; Euphorbiaceae
Source: RNAcentral